This 218-nucleotide ribosomal RNA is filed under the name uncultured bacterium. RNAcentral's name for it is "partial 16S ribosomal RNA". It matches the Rfam family "Bacterial small subunit ribosomal RNA", at positions 1283 to 1500 of the family's 1533-position model. The record is from RNAcentral.
AAGUCUCAGUUCGGAUUGAAGGCUGAAAUUCGCCUUCAUGAAGCCGGAAUUGCUAGUAAUGGCAGGUCAGCAUACUGCCGUGAAUACGUUCCCGGGCCUUGUACACACCGCCCGUCACACCAUGGGAGCCGGGAAUGCCCGAAGUCGGUGACCCAACCGUAAGGAGGGAGCCGCCGAAGGCAGGCCUGGUAACUGGGGUGAAGUCGUAACAAGGUACC